RNAcentral lists this ribosomal RNA (209 nucleotides) under uncultured fungus. Its description in RNAcentral is "partial small subunit ribosomal RNA". The record is from RNAcentral. Lineage: Eukaryota; Fungi.
GGCCUUGUCGGGUGGUCCACCAUCUGGUGAGUACCGCCAUUACGUCGGGUCCCUUCUUCUGGUGAGCUAGUGUGUCUUCACUGGGUGCAUUAGAACUAUUACCUUGAAAAAUUGGUGUGUUUAAAACGGACAAUUGCUUGAAUACAUUAGCGUGCGUGGAAUAAUGAAAUAGGACAAACGGUUCUAUUUUGGGUUUUGGGACCACCGCA